GUGUUACAGCCGCCGCCGUAACACAUGCAAGUCGAACGGUAAGGCCCCUUCGGGGGUACACGAGUGGCGAACGGGUGAGUAACACGUGGGUGAUCUGCCCUGCACUCUGGGAUAAGCCUGGGAAACUGGGUCUAAUACCGGAUAUGAGCUCCUGUCGCAUGGCGGGGGUUGGAAAGGUUUACUGGUGCAGGAUGGGCCCGCGGCCUAUCAGCUUGUUGGUGGGGUAAUGGCCUACCAAGGCGACGACGGGUAGCCGGCCUGAGAGGGCGACCGGCCACACUGGGACUGAGACACGGCCCAGACUCCUACGGGAGGCAGCAGUGGGGAAUAUUGCACAAUGGGCGAAAGCCUGAUGCAGCGACGCCGCGUGAGGGAUGACGGCCUUCGGGUUGUAAACCUCUUUCAGCAGGGACGAAGCGAGAGUGACGGUACCUGCAGAAGAAGCACCGGCCAACUACGUGCCAGCCGCCGCAGU
RNAcentral lists this ribosomal RNA (475 nucleotides) under uncultured bacterium. RNAcentral describes it as "bacterial SSU rRNA". It matches the Rfam family "Bacterial small subunit ribosomal RNA", at positions 39 to 521 of the family's 1533-position model. The record is from RNAcentral.